RNAcentral lists this ribosomal RNA (158 nucleotides) under Aspergillus flavus. Its description in RNAcentral is "5.8S ribosomal RNA". The stretch from base 46 to 158 matches the Rfam family "5.8S ribosomal RNA", at positions 1 to 113 of the family's 154-position model. Rfam says of the family: 5.8S ribosomal RNA (5.8S rRNA) is a component of the large subunit of the eukaryotic ribosome. Lineage: Eukaryota; Fungi; Ascomycota; Eurotiomycetes; Eurotiales; Aspergillaceae. The record is from RNAcentral.
GUCUGAUCUAGUGAAGUCUGAGUUGAUUGUAUCGCAAUCAGUUAAAACUUUCAACAAUGGAUCUCUUGGUUCCGGCAUCGAUGAAGAACGCAGCGAAAUGCGAUAACUAGUGUGAAUUGCAGAAUUCCGUGAAUCAUCGAGUCUUUGAACGCACAUUG